RNAcentral lists this ribosomal RNA (613 nucleotides) under uncultured bacterium. RNAcentral describes it as "bacterial SSU rRNA". The stretch from base 1 to 522 matches the Rfam family "Bacterial small subunit ribosomal RNA", at positions 338 to 873 of the family's 1533-position model. The record is from RNAcentral.
CCUACGGGAGGCAGCAGUGGGGAAUAUUGGGCAAUGGAGGAAACUCUGACCCAGCGACGCCGCGUGCGGGAUGAAGGCCUUCGGGUUGUAAACCGCUUUCAGCAGGGAAGAAGCGAAAGUGACGGUACCUGCAGAAGAAGCACCGGCUAACUAUGUGCCAGCAGCCGCGGUAAUACAUAGGGUGCAAGCGUUGUCCGGAAUUAUUGGGCGUAAAGAGCUCGUAGGUGGUUCGUCACGUCGGAUGUGAAAAUCUGGGGCUUAACCCCAGACCUGCAUUCGAUACGGGCGAGCUUGAGUAUGGUAGGGGAGUCUGGAAUUCCUGGUGUAGCGGUGGAAUGCGCAGAUAUCAGGAGGAACACCAAUGGCGAAGGCAGGACUCUGGGCCAUUACUGACACUGAGGAGCGAAAGCGUGGGGAGCGAACAGGAUUAGAUACCCUGGUAGUCCACGCCGUAAACGGUGGGCACUAGUUGUGGGGACCUUCCACGGUCUCUGCGACGCAGCUACGCAUAAGUCGCCCGCCGCGGGAGGUACGAGUCGCGAGAAGUUAAACUAACGAAAGAAGUUAGUACGGCGUGAGACGUCGCCGACGGACGACGACGAGGGAGGUUAGG